RNAcentral lists this ribosomal RNA (95 nucleotides) under Fukomys damarensis (Damara mole-rat). Lineage: Eukaryota; Metazoa; Chordata; Mammalia; Rodentia; Bathyergidae. The record is from RNAcentral.
GGCCAUACCAUCCUGAACGUGCCCGAUCUCAUCUGAUCUUGUAAGCUAAGCAGGGUUGAGCCUGGUUGGUACUUGGAUGGGAGAAUGUAGGUACU